This 1057-nucleotide long non-coding RNA is filed under the name Sorghum bicolor (sorghum). RNAcentral's name for it is "long non-coding RNA (SBIC_LNC002469)". The record is from RNAcentral. Lineage: Eukaryota; Viridiplantae; Streptophyta; Magnoliopsida; Poales; Poaceae.
AGCCCUUGUUUAGAUGUAAAUUUUUUUGUAUUUUGCUACUGUAGUUUUUUUUGUUUGUUUGUGGUAAAUAUUAUCCAAUCAUAGACUAACUAGGGUCAAAAGAUUCGUCUCACGAUUUACAGUUAAACUGUGUGAUUAGUUUUUGUUUUCGUUUAUAUUUAAUACCUAAUGUAUGUGUCGUAAGAUUCGAUAUGAUAUGGAAUCUUGAAAACUGUUUGGAUUUUGAGGUACGACCUUGUUUAGUUCCAAAAAAUUUUGGAAAAUCUAACACUUUCGUUUGUAUUUGAUAAAUAUUGUCCAAUUAUGGACUAACUAGGAUCAAAGGAUUCGUCUCGUUAAUUCCGACCAAACUGUGCAAUUAGUUUUUAUUUUUGUCUAUAUUUAAUACUCCAUACAUGCGUCUAAAGAUUUGACGUGAUGGAGAAUCUGAAAAAUUUUGUAAAAUUUUUUGGAACUAAACAAGGCCGUGAACUAGACAAGACCUAGGCCUUGUUUAGUUCUCAAAAAUUUUGCAAAAUUUUUCAGAUUCCCUGUCACAUCGAAUAUUUAGACGUAUGCAUGGAGUAUUAAAUAUAGAUAAAAAUAAAAACUAAUUGCACAGUUUGGUCGGAAUUGACGAGACGAUUCUUUUGAACCUAGUUAAUCCAUAAUUGGACAAUAUUUGUCAAAUACAAACGAAAGUGUUAAUAUUCCUAUUUUGCAAAUUUCUUUGAAGUAAACAAGGCCCUAGAACAAGGCCUGAAAAUGCUACUGUCACGGUGGAGGCUGACGCAUUUAAUGCGAGUUUACUGUGGGUUGACCAGAAUGACGAGCAUGGUGGAUCGCAGUAUCAAAUAUCAAUGCACUUUAUAAAAAAAGAAAAUAAAUCAAUGCACUGGUGUCACCUGUUCUCGUCUCCAUAGGAUGAUGUUUGUUAUUGAAAAUUAUUCAAAUUGCAUUUUGUAUGAAUUAUGAAUAUUUUUUUAUCUAUGUUUCAUCACUAAAAGAUAUUCAUUGGUCCUUUGAUUUGUACUCCCUCCAUAUCAGAAAUAAAAGACGUUUAGGAUAUAAGUAUAGU